RNAcentral lists this long non-coding RNA (1809 nucleotides) under Ananas comosus (pineapple). Its description in RNAcentral is "long non-coding RNA (ACOM_LNC023522)". Lineage: Eukaryota; Viridiplantae; Streptophyta; Magnoliopsida; Poales; Bromeliaceae. The record is from RNAcentral.
UAGAAUUUUAAAUUAAUUUAAAUUUUGAAUUGAAAUAUAGAUUUACAAUAGAUAUUCUGAUAAACAUUUGGAUAAGUAUGAAUUUUUUUUUUAUUUUAGAAAUAAAAAAAUAAAAUAAAUUUUGAAUUAAAUAUAGAUUCACGGUAGAUAUUUUUCGGUUGGCAAAAAUUUGGAUAAGUAUUUUUUUUUUUCAUUACGUUACUUAUUUUACAUAAGGAAAGGAAAAUCAAUUUUUUUUCCCGCCAAAAAAUGAGUCUGUCGAGAGACUGAAAUUUGAAAUCCGUGCUCAUAUAUAUAUAUAUAUAUAUAUAGUUGAGUGACGUGUAAAUGUACGUAACAAUUAUUUUAAUCUAUUUUAAAUCAAUAUAAAUUUGCACAUUAUAUUUAUUUAAAAAUUUAUAAUUUAUAAAUUCAUAUGUUAUAUUUUAUUAGUAAAUAUUUGUAAUAUUCUAUAUUUUUUAUUUUUUAUAUACAUUAAAUAUUUUUAUAUAUUUUUUGGAUUUUUGAUGAUUUAAAAUUUAAAUAUGUGUUUAUUGCAUCAAAAUUUAAUUCAUAUUUAUUUUAAAAUUUAAAAUUUAAUUUUGAUCCACUAUAAUUAAAAUUUUUAGAUAAGAAUGCUAUUUUUUAACAGAUUAAUCAUAAAAAAUUUGGAUAAGGAUAAAUAUUUUUCUGUUAUAGAAAUAAAGAGGAAUUAAGAGUUUAUUUAAUUCUCUUAUUUAUUGUAUGCAAGGAAAGAGGAAUCAAUUUUUUUUUUUCUCGUAAUGGGUUUGUCGACAGACGAAAUUUAAAAUACGUGCUUUUAUAUAUAGUAUAGAUAAAAUUUUUGGAUAAGAAUGCAAUUUUUUAACAGAUUAAUCAUAAAAAAUUUAGAUAAGCAUAAAUAUUUUUCUGCUAUAGAAAUAAAGAGAAAUUAAGAGUUUUUUUAAUUCCGUUAUUUAUUUUACGUAAGGAAAAAUGAAUCAAUUUUUUUCCCACCAAAUAAUAGGUCUGUCGACAGACCGAAAUUUGAAAUACAUACUUUAUAUAGAUUAUUACAAAAUAUUUGUAAUAUUCUAUUUUUUUAUUUUUUAUAUACAUUAAAUAUUUGUAUAUAUUUUUUGAUUUCUGAUGAUCUAAAAUUUAAAAAUGUGUUUUAAACAAAAAGCAUCAAAAUUUAAUUCAUAUUUAUUUCAAAAUUUAAAAUUUAAUUUUGAUCCACUAUAAUUAAAAUUUUUGGAUAAGAAUGCUAUUUUUUAACAGAUUAAUCAUAAAAAAUUUGGAUAAGCAUAAAUUGAGGAAUUAAGAGUUUGUUUAAUUAUGUUAUUUAUUUUACACAAGGAAAGAGGAAUCAAUUUUUUUUCCCGCCAAAUAAUAGGUCUGCCGACAUACCAAAAUUUGAAAUACAUGCUUUUAUAUAUAGUAUAGAUAAUCAUAAAAAAUGUGGAUAAGCAUAAAUGGAGGAAUUAAGAGUUUGCUUAAUUAUGUUAUUUAUUUUACGCAAAGAAAGGGGAAUCAAUUUUUUUUCCCGCCAAAUAAUGGGUAUGUCGACAGGGGGAAAUUUGAAAUACGUGCUUUUAUAUAUAGUAUAUAUUUUAAAUCAAUAUAAAAUUUGCAUAUUAUAUUUAUUUAAAAAUUUAUAAUUUAUAAAUUCAUAUGUUAUAUUUUAUGUCAUGCCUCGAAUUACACGUUUUUCCGGGCACGCCAACAGACUCGCCGUAUACAUAGGAAUUUUUCCUAUAUACUAAGCGAUAGCUGCACCUGUAAAUAAAUCAAGCUACAACCAUAAGGUAAUGAGCUGCUAAACUAAAAGCAUAAAUAUAUAAAUAAACC